This 460-nucleotide ribosomal RNA is filed under the name uncultured bacterium. Its description in RNAcentral is "partial 16S ribosomal RNA". It matches the Rfam family "Bacterial small subunit ribosomal RNA", at positions 338 to 795 of the family's 1533-position model. The record is from RNAcentral.
CCUACGGGUGACUGCAGUGAGGAAUAUUGGUCAAUGGACGAGAGUCUGAACCAGCCAAGUAGCAUGAAGGAUGACUGCCCUAUGGGUUGUAAACUUCUUUUAUAUGGGAAUAAAAUGUUCCACGUGUGGGAUUUUGUAUGUACCAUAUGAAUAAGGAUCGGCUAACUCCGUGCCAGCAGCCGCGGUAAUACGGAGGAUCCGAGAGUUAUCCGGAUUUAUUGGGUUUAAAGGGAGCGUAGGUGGAUUGUUAAGUCAGUUGUGAAAGUUUGCGGCUCAACCGUAAAAGUGCAAUUGAAACUGGCAGUCUUGAGUACAGUAGAGGUGGGCGGAAUUCGUGGUGUAGCGGUGAAAUGCUUAGAUAUCACGAAGAACUCCGAUUGCGAAGGCAGUUCACUGGACUACAACUGACACUGAGGCUCGAAAGUGUGGGUAUCAAACAGGAUUAGAUACCCUUGUAGUC